GAUGCGUAGGGGUUCUGAGAGGAAGGUCCCCCACACUGGUACUGAGACACGGACCAGACUCCUACGGGAGGCAGCAGUGAGGAAUAUUGGUCAAUGGCCGCAGGGCUGAACCAGCCAAGUCGCGUGAGGGAUGACGGUCCUAUGGAUUGUAAACCUCUUUUGUCAGGGAGCAAAGGGCGCCACGUGUGGCGCUUUGCGAGUACCUGAAGAAAAAGCAUCGGCUAACUCCGUGCCAGCAGCCGCGGUAAUACGGAGGAUGCGAGCGUUAUCCGGAUUUAUUGGGUUUAAAGGGUGCGCAGGCGGAAUGUCAAGUCAGCGGUAAAAUUUCGGGGCUCAACCCCGUCGUGCCGUUGAAACUGGCGUUCUUGAGUGAGCGAGAAGUAUGCGGAAUGCGUGGUGUAGCGGUGAAAUGCAUAGAUAUCACGCAGAACUCCGAUUGCGAAGGCAGCAUACCGGCGCUCAACUGACGCUCAUGCACGAAAGCGUGGGUAUCGAACAGGAUUAGAUACCCUGGUAGUCCACGCAGUAAACGAUGAAUACUAACUGUCCGGGCAGAAUGAUGCCUGG
RNAcentral lists this ribosomal RNA (567 nucleotides) under uncultured bacterium. RNAcentral describes it as "bacterial SSU rRNA". It matches the Rfam family "Bacterial small subunit ribosomal RNA", at positions 278 to 842 of the family's 1533-position model. The record is from RNAcentral.